This 293-nucleotide signal recognition particle RNA is filed under the name Microcebus murinus (gray mouse lemur). Its description in RNAcentral is "Metazoan signal recognition particle RNA (ENSMICG00000033663.2)". It matches the Rfam family "Metazoan signal recognition particle RNA". Rfam says of the family: The signal recognition particle (SRP) is a universally conserved ribonucleoprotein. It is involved in the co-translational targeting of proteins to membranes. The record is from RNAcentral. Lineage: Eukaryota; Metazoa; Chordata; Mammalia; Primates; Cheirogaleidae.
GCUGGAUGCAGUGGCGCACGCCUGUAGUCCCAGCUACUCGGGAGGCUGAGAUGGGAGGAUUGCUUGAGCCCAGGAGUUCUGGGCUGUAGUGCGCUAUGCUGAUCGGGUGUCGAACUAAGUUCGGCAUCAAUAUGGUGACCUCCCGGGAGCGGGGGACCACCAGGUUGCCCAAGGAGGGAUGAACCAGCCCAGGUCGGAAACGGAGCAGGUCAAAACUCCCGUGCUGAUCAAGAGAUGUGUCAGUUAUAUAUUAGGCCUCAGACACAAAACUAGUGUGAGUUAAAUACAACUCA